This 2855-nucleotide long non-coding RNA is filed under the name Sus scrofa (pig). RNAcentral's name for it is "lncRNA (ENSSSCG00015060342.1)". The record is from RNAcentral. Lineage: Eukaryota; Metazoa; Chordata; Mammalia; Artiodactyla; Suidae.
ACCUGCAGCAUAUGGAGGUUCCCUUCUCAGGCUCGGGGUCAAAUCAGAGCUACAGCUGCUGGCUUACGCCACAGCUACAGCAACACCAGAUCCAAGCCCCAUCUGCGACCUACAUCUCAGCUCCGGAAGCACGGGAUCCUUAACCCACUGAGCGAGGCCAGGGAUCAAACCCGCAACCUCAAGGUUCCUAGGCAGAUUCAUUUCCACUGUGCCGCAAGGGGAACUCCUGUACAAAGCAUACAAUCAUUUUAAGCACAACAGAAAUACUUUAAUGCCAGAUUAGUCAAAGCACUUUAUUUGACGGUUGUUCUCCUUGAUGUCAAACUUCAAACAAUGUAUGUCAAGUAUUCUAAUUUGUUUUACAAACAUGAUAUGAUCCUCCAUUUAUCUAUCUAUCUAAACCUUCCCCAAAGCAGUCUGUACAGGAGCAUGCUCCACUUAAAGUCACAAGUACUCUAAGUUGACCUCUCUAUUUGAUCAAGCUGAUAAACUAGUAGUCCAUCUUCAAAAUAUUUGGAGCUGUAAGGGCAUGUACUUGCUACUCUGGUUUGACUCUAGAUAUACCUUUAGUACCUGACAGACGGCAGUCAAGGCUACUCUUUUGCACUGUUAUUUUUCAUCUGCAGGGUCCUAACCUUUUUAGUCUUGAUUCAACUCCUCCAUAGGCCUUCCCAUUUCUGUCUGAGCGCCUUUCCUUUUCUUUUUCUGCAUUAUACUCUCAAUCCCUCUUCCCAAGAGUGUAAACAUCUAUAACACUGAGGCAAGCCCAGAAAAUCUGGGAUGAGACUGCCAGAUACACUUGAACCUCAUCAUGAAAUUUCUCAAGAAGGGGAUGCAAGAGGGCUUCCAAACCCAGGAAAACCAUCUCUAUCACCUGAUGCCAAAGCACUGGCUUCCCUCACUCCUCUGAGAGCCAGGCCAGGAGAAGGCAAGGAGCUCAGCCUCUGAAAACCACAAGCCCCAAGAAGGCCUUCCCUUGCCCUACCUGCACUUUACCUGCUCCUGCGUGGAGCAGCACCCUUGCUUCCCUGAAAAAGGGGAAAUGAAUCCCCCAAAUGCUCAGGCAGGUAACCCAGAGCAUGGAGCAGGAGGGCUUGGGGACUUAGUGGUGCCUCAAAGGGGAGGGCUAUUAGCAAGGCGGGCCUGGUGUGGAAUUCCUCAAAAGAUGCUAUACACAAGCUAUACAUGGGAGGCAGCCAGCUAACUGGGACCUAAGUCCCCUGGGACUCCCCCAGGGUCCACCUCCCACAGGCCCUCCCUCCUAUCCUCUUCCCUGCCUCCUGUGACCAGUGACCUGGACAGUAGGCAAGGGAGCGCAGAGGGCCUGUCCCACCUGGCAAUCAUCUUGCAGAAGUCCCAGCCAACUCCUUCCUGCCAGAGACAAACUGGGGGUCCCUGCCACCAGCCUGACUCUUCUUUUCUCCAGAAUGCUUUUUCUCAAAGUGAGAUAUUUACUAUUAGGAUGAGCUCAUCAAUGACUAUGAGAAUGCUGUGGUCACGAUGUGUGGCCUUUACCCAGAAGGAUAAUGCUCUGGUUUUGUUUCCUAACGUCCAGGCAUUUUGUUGACUUUUGUCAGUGACUUGUCACUGUCGAUAUGUUCAGCGCACAGUGAAUCUCAAGUCAUUUUCUUAUGCUAUACCUAACAGCUUAAAGCCUUUCAUUUACUACAAUUCCUAAAUGCACAUACUUCCUGAUUAAAAUGCAAGGCAGCAGAGCAUAAAAAGAUCUUUAUAUAAUCUCGAGUCCCUUCACUGGGUUUUAUUACUUACACUUUACUAUUUGUUUAUUUAGAAAAGACUCUGGCAGUGCUAAGACACAAUAAAAUGACAUUUCUUAAUGGAAUUGGUAAUUUCAUAUCACCCUUUCACAGAAAAACCUUGAGGAAUUCAGAUAUUCAUACAUAUUACUUAAAGCAGCAACAAAGAGUUCCCACUGUGGUGCAGUGGAAACAAAUCCGACUAGGAACCAUGAGGUUGGGGGUUCAAUCCCUGGCCUGGCUCAGUGGAUCAAGGAUCCGUGAGCUGUGGUGUAGGUCGCAGAUGCGGCUCAGAUCCAGCGUUGCUGUGGCUGUGGUAUAAGCCAGCAGCUAUAGCUAAGAUCUGACCUCUAGCCUGGGAACCUCCAUACGCCGAGAGUGCAGCCCUAAAAAGACCAAAACAAACAAACAAACAGCAACAAGAACACUAUGCACCAGUCUCAAAACAGAAUUUUAGAAAUUAAAAAUACAAUAGACUAUCAGAAACUCCAAAGAGGUGGGCAUUCCUAAGGCUUUAGGAAUUUGGUUAAAAUGUUCACCAAUCUCAAACCACCUCAGUAUUUCCAACUUAUACCACUUUGACCACUUGAAUCUAAUGAACACUCUAAAGACAUCUAACAUUAUAGUCUGUAACAAUACCCUUAAACACGGGAGAAAAAAAAUACAGAAAAGCGAGGGAAGCAAGACAACAGAGGCUCAGCGCCCCAGUGGGCUGGACCACAAUGCACUACCCAGCAAAUAAAUGACUUUCACCAACAAAUCAGCCAAUUACUGCACCUUAACAAAUAGUUAGCUCCUCCACCAAGUCCUGUGAACACUGCAAACCUGUUAGGUAGAGAGGGAAACCACAGAGAUGAUCGCACAUGAAAUACUUAAUGAAACGCUAAUGACAGUAACAAACUUCCCCAGAAUCUCUCUUUUUUUUUUUUUCGGUCUCAGUGUACAGUGGGUUGAUGUGGGAGCUCAGUUCCUAGACCAGGGAUGGAACCCAGGCCCCAACAGUGGUGAAAGCACUGAGUCCUAACAAUUCGACCACCAGGGAACUCCCUGGUGGUCGAAUCUUGAUUAGGUUCCUUACUGUCACCCACCCAUCUUCCC